This is a long non-coding RNA of Gopherus flavomarginatus (Mexican gopher tortoise), 283 nucleotides long. RefSeq lists it as uncharacterized. NCBI's taxonomy places the organism in Eukaryota, Metazoa, Chordata, Testudines, Testudinidae. The transcript has 3 exons. The record is from RefSeq and is a predicted model, not a curated record.
CGAACAAAAAAGCUCGCUCCCAGCGCUGCUGCCACAACUACACAGCCACAUUAAAGCGCUGACUUCAGUGAGGUAUACAACUGUAAUUAAUGCUUAAGAGACAACACUCUUGCUACAGAACAUUUGGUAACAGAACCUUCUUCAUAUUGAAAAGACUGACAGACAGCCAAAGAAUAAAGCAAGUGACCACAGAAAGGAGGUCAGCCCAGUAAUGCCAACUGCACCAAGAAAGUAGGAGAGGUGUCCAUCAACCAGUUGUGGAUCUAGCUACACAAGAAAAAAA